RNAcentral lists this long non-coding RNA (1242 nucleotides) under Gallus gallus (chicken). The record is from RNAcentral. Lineage: Eukaryota; Metazoa; Chordata; Aves; Galliformes; Phasianidae.
AGCAGAGCUGUGCUCGUCACCGCGCUCCCCUCCCGGUGCCACCAGCAAUGAGCACAGAGCCCAGGCGUUCCUGGCCACUGGCGUAGCAUGCAGGUGACAGCCCCGUGGGGACAUUAAACCCACCUGCCCGAAUUAUUUGGCUUUGACAAAAUGAGAAGGGCUGGGAAACGGGGACCUGACCGCGGGAAGCACAAAGUGGGAGUGGAUGUUCCCCAAACCCGGGCCAUUUUUAGGAGCACGCAUGUGCCAAUGGUGUGGGUUUCUGUGUGCGUGUGGAUAUGGAUGCUGACAAAGCCACAAAUGCAUUCACUAGGAAAAUUAAAAAAUUAACAGGCAUCGGCUCGCUCUAGAUUAGUAAAGGCAGCGAGAUAAAAGCGACUCUUUAUACCUUGUGAGAAUUGCUGAUAAGGGCAUUUGUUCCUCCGUAUUCUUUAAAAAGAAUGCAAUCAAAAUUUAAAGCAGGGCAGGAGAAAGGAGAUGGGAGGAGAAAGUGCUGGGAGGUGGUGGGCUGCACUGACGUGGUGGGCGUUGCUGAUGUGCUGGGUGCCACCAAUGUGAUGUGGGUGCCACCAAUGUGAUGGUACAACCAAUGUGUUGGGUACCACCAAGGUGAUGGGUACCCCCAGUAUGACAUGGGGACCAUCAAUGUGGUGGUACCACUGAUGUGAUGGAUACCACGAAUAUAUGACAUGGGGACCACCAGUGUGAUAUGGGGACCACCAAUGUGGUGGUACCACUGAUGUGAUGGAUACCACCAAUGUGAUGAGCGCUACCAACAUGAUAUGGGGGACCACCAUUGGAUGGGCACCACUGAUGCAUUGGGUACCCCCAGUGUGAUAUGGAGACCACCAAUAUGAUAUGGGGACCACCAAUGUGAUGGUACCGCCAAUGUGUUGGGUACCACCGAUGUGAUGGGCACUACCAGUAUGAUAUGGAGACCACCAGUAUGAUAUAGGGACCACCAAUGUGAUGGUACCACCAAUGUGUUGGGUACCACCGAUGUGAUGGGCACUACCAGUAUGAUAUGGAGACCACCAAUAUGAUAUGGGGACCACCAAUGUGAUGGUACCACCAAUGUGUUGGGUACCACCGAUGUGAUGGGCACUACCAGUAUGAUAUGGGGACCACGGACGUAAUGGGCAUCACUGAUGUGAUGGGUACCCCCGGUAUGAUAUGGGGACCACCAAUAUGAUAUGGGGACCACCAAUGUGAUAACAGAGACCACCAAUGUGUUGGGUACCA